AGCAGCCGCGGUAAUUCCAGCUCCAAUAGCGUAUAUUAAAGUUGUUGCAGUUAAAAAGCUCGUAGUUGAAUUUCGGGAUCAAUAUGUUGGUCGUGCCUUGGUACGUACUAGUUUAUUGGUUUCUUCCUUCUGACGAACCAUGAUGUCAUUAAUUUGGUGUCAUGGGGAAUCAGGACUGUUACUUUGAAAAAAUUAGAGUGUUUAAAGCAGGCUUACGCUUGAAUACAUUAGCAUGGAAUAAUGAAAUAGGACGUUUGAUUCUAUUUUGUUGGUUUCUAGGAUCGACGUAAUGAUUAAUAGGGAUAGUUGGGGGCAUUAGUAUUCAAUUGUCAGAGGUGAAAUUCUUGGAUUUAUUGAAGACUAACUACUGCGAAAGCAUUUGCCAAGGAUGUUUUCAUUAAUCAAGAACGAAAGUUAGGGGAUCGAAGACGAUCAGAUACCGUCGUAGUCUUAACCAUAAACUAUGCCGACUAGGGAUCGGAUGAUGUUAAUUUUUUAAUGACUCAUUCGGCGCCUUACG
This 520-nucleotide ribosomal RNA is filed under the name uncultured fungus. RNAcentral describes it as "SSU rRNA". It matches the Rfam family "Eukaryotic small subunit ribosomal RNA", at positions 569 to 1092 of the family's 1831-position model. The record is from RNAcentral. Lineage: Eukaryota; Fungi.